Molecule: ribosomal RNA, 253 nt
Filed under: uncultured bacterium
Lineage: Bacteria
Description: partial 16S ribosomal RNA
Rfam family: Bacterial small subunit ribosomal RNA
Source: RNAcentral
GACGGAGGAUGCAAGUGUUAUCCGGAAUCACUGGGCGUAAAGCGUCUGUAGGUGGUUUAAUAAGUCAACUGUUAAAUCUUGAGGCUCAACCUCAAAAUCGCAGUCGAAACUAUUAGGCUAGAGUAUAGUAGGGGUAAAGGGAAUUUCCAGUGGAGCGGUGAAAUGCGUAGAGAUUGGAAAGAACACCGAUGGCGAAGGCACUUUACUGGGCUAUCACUAACACUCAGAGACGAAAGCUAGGGUAGCAAAUGGG